GGGGGGUUGAUCGCUUGGAGGUCCUGGUUCCCGCUGUAGAGAGUCGAACGGAGGUCCUUCGGUAAUAAGCUGCAAGUGUAGAGUAUUCCAAACAUGGUAUAAGCAUCAAUAUCCCGGAUCCCUACAACAUGAGUCGAGGCUGCAAGUUGAGGGUCAAAACGAACUGGCUUUACUGGCACACAAACAUGGCAAUUUAUGCGGUUCCUCAGGUCCAAGGACAGCCCCUUGUGGACCUGAUGGAAUACAGGUACAGUACAAACAGGUGACCAAUCAUAGUACAGUGUAUCGUUUGAAUUAGUACCCGCCCAGCUUGGAGAUAAUUAGAUUGUAUAACCGUUGGCCUCAUUAUCUCCAAGCGCACAAAAGACCACGUUUUAUUAUGCCUCAUAAAAACUGUAUAAAAAUCCAUAACUUUAACAUCAAUAGAGGAAAACAGUUCAUUCUACCAUUCAUUCCAUAGCUCGCGUUCGAGCACAUUAAACAUACGAAUGGCGCUCCAAUCCCACGGGCAGAAUGAUCUAUUUCUGCUGAAUAAAGUCCUUUCGGUAUUUUGGAUCAUGAGUCUCUGAUGGCGGCCAUGUUUUUAGACGGUUUAACGAGCAGCGGGACCUCGCCUCCAACUUAUGGAACUAAACUCUGGUAUCAGUUCAUGCGAAUCCCCGCUGUCUGUCUGGUAGUGGAACUCGUUCGGUACAUGAAUGAGGACCACCUGGUAGCAUGGUACUUGAGUUGCAGUUAACCGCAGAAACCACAGGCUAAUUGCUGCCACACGACCCACUGUAGGGGGUCUCCGUUCAUGAGGUUAUUCGGUAGGUUCCCUUCGGUGAUUUGUGUGCGAACGUCGAUCCUCCAGGCCAGUCAAUUAGUCUGUGGUUAACCGCAGACGCCUGGGUGGUUAAUGGGCGCCACACUCCGCUGGUCGGGUGGUCGACCGUUCGGUACUUUGCAGGGUGAAGAGGUUUAUUGGCGGCACACGCCAGCGUUUGGGGGGUCUCUCGUUCGUAUCACGAAUGGGGUCUUUAUAAGAAUUCAUGUAAUCCAUUCGUGUUUCCUCUGGUUAAAUGUAUAGGGUUGUAACAGUAGCAACAUGUAAUAACAAUAAUGGAGUCAUUUUGAGUCUUUUGUAAC
Pelobates cultripes (western spadefoot toad) is the source of this 1128-nucleotide non-coding RNA. The record is from the annotation of a GenBank genome assembly. Lineage: Eukaryota; Metazoa; Chordata; Amphibia; Anura; Pelobatidae.